This 69-nucleotide transfer RNA is filed under the name Myotis lucifugus (little brown bat). It matches the Rfam family "tRNA". From Rfam's summary of the family: Transfer RNA (tRNA) molecules are approximately 80 nucleotides in length. Their secondary structure includes four short double-helical elements and three loops (D, anti-codon, and T loops). The record is from Rfam by way of RNAcentral. Lineage: Eukaryota; Metazoa; Chordata; Mammalia; Chiroptera; Vespertilionidae.
GCCAGUGUGGCUCAGUGGUAGAGCAUUGACCUAUGACCAGGAGGUGAGGGUUCAAUUCCCAUCAGGGCA